CGAGGUGGAGCAUGGCGGUCUGUGCAGCGCCCUGAUAAGGCGCAGGACCAGGUUCGACUCCUGGCACCUCGACCA
RNAcentral lists this transfer RNA (75 nucleotides) under Kibdelosporangium aridum. RNAcentral's name for it is "tRNA_Ile_GAT". It matches the Rfam family "tRNA". Rfam says of the family: Transfer RNA (tRNA) molecules are approximately 80 nucleotides in length. Their secondary structure includes four short double-helical elements and three loops (D, anti-codon, and T loops). RNAcentral also lists the same sequence under 1 other name. Lineage: Bacteria; Bacillati; Actinomycetota; Actinomycetes; Pseudonocardiales; Pseudonocardiaceae. The record is from RNAcentral.